UAUCCAAACACAUUGUGCAGAUCUAGAGAGAGGGUCGUAGGGAGAGAGAAAGAGAGGACCGUCGGCCAUGGUGGUGGUCGACGACGGCCAUGGCGGCGCGUGGCGGUCAACAGCGGCAACAACAACGACGCACCAGGGAACGACGACCAGAGGUCUCUCCGACGACGGUUGAGUUAGAUCGGUGAUGAAGUGCGGCGGUGGUCGUGGCACCGGCUAAGUGGAGAUCGGUGAUGAUAACGCCGGAGAUGACAGCGAAGGUGGCGGUUAUGAACCACGACAGCCGUGGUUCGGAGUUCUUUCCCGGACUCAUCACUGAGGAAGUCUGCAAGUGUGGGUGACUGGAUAUACAAUUCAAAUAAAAUGGGUGAAUAAUAACAGCUCUGUACAUGGCAAUUUACUUGCAUCAUUCCUAAUGCCACACCUUCAAAACCUUUUUCAACAGACAUCACUUCAAUAGGGCUGAUCCAUUUUCCAAGAAGGAUUGGUACGAUAUCAAGGCUCCAUCGCUGU
RNAcentral lists this long non-coding RNA (510 nucleotides) under Helianthus annuus (common sunflower). Its description in RNAcentral is "sRNA HanXRQr2_Chr13g0578661". The record is from RNAcentral. Lineage: Eukaryota; Viridiplantae; Streptophyta; Magnoliopsida; Asterales; Asteraceae.